GUCCUCCAGAGAGUUAGCCUGACCCGAGCCUGGAAGAAGAGAUGACAAGCGUUGAGAAAGAACAAAUCCCAGUGCCUAGAAGAGGCUAAGUCAGUCUAUCACAAGUGCAGACGCGUCACAGAAACGGAAGAACGCUACAAGGAGAGCGGGCUCCCAUGCAUGCUGUCGAGACCACGUUGAGCAAGACCACCCGGUGAAGGCAGCUCAGCAAUUCCAGAAGAGGCCCCCACAGCAGCAUUCCAGCGCAAACUGUUGGUGUAGGCCAGAGUACCUUUGAAGGCAGAGUGAGCGUGAGACCCUCCAAAUCCUGGCCUGAUUUGGGGCUGUCAGAGGAGAAAUCCUACCCAGAGAGCUGGCUGUGUGUGCAUUCAUCCAGGAUCGGUGGAGCACCUUCAGUUCAGGUCAGUUCAGUCGCUCAGUCCUGUCCGACUCUUUGUGACCCCACGGACUGCAGCACACCAGGCCUCCCUGUCCAUCACCAACUCCCGGAGUUUACUCAAACUCAUGUCCAUUGUGUCAGUGAUGCCAUCCGACCAUCUCAUCCUCUGUUGUCCCCCUCUCCUCCCGCCUUCAAUCUUUCCCAGCAUCAGGGUCUUUUCUAAUGAGUCAGUUCUUCGAAUCAGAUGGCCAAAGUAUUGGAGCUUCAUCAUCCUAGAGCAAUCUGAUCCACCGAGAGAAAUCAACCUGUCUUUAAAAAGAUCUGAGUCACGGCACCAGAACGUUAGCGGUAUAGAGUGCGGAGACCCCUCCUGUGGACCUCGGUUCCUGGUAAGGAGGCAAAGAAGAACCUGAGGGCUUACCCACUGCCAGAGAGUUUAUCGAAGACAAGGAAAAAGCAAACAGAGAGAAGACCUCAAGAGAGAGGUGGGCCAGACCAAGGAAGGCAAUGGUCCGGAAGGCUGG
Molecule: long non-coding RNA, 903 nt
Filed under: Capra hircus (goat)
Lineage: Eukaryota; Metazoa; Chordata; Mammalia; Artiodactyla; Bovidae
Description: lncRNA (ENSCHIG00000006894.1)
Source: RNAcentral